GCCGGGCGUUGUGGCGGGCGCCUGUGGUCCCAGCUACUUGGGAGGCUGAGGCAGGAGACUCGCUUGAGCCCAGGAGUUGGAGGUUGCUGUGAGCUGUAAUGCCACGGCACUCUACCCAGGGGGACAGCUUGAGGCUCUGUCUCAAAAAAAAAAAAAAAAAAAAAGAUAGUCUCACUCUGUUGCCUGAGCUAGAGUGCAGUGGUGUCAUCAUAGUUCCCUGCAGCCUCAAACUCCUAGGCUCCAGUGAUCCUCCUGCC
Molecule: small RNA, 257 nt
Filed under: Otolemur garnettii (small-eared galago)
Lineage: Eukaryota; Metazoa; Chordata; Mammalia; Primates; Galagidae
Description: Metazoan signal recognition particle RNA (ENSOGAG00000030074.1)
Source: RNAcentral